Long non-coding RNA from Alligator mississippiensis (American alligator), 2284 nucleotides. RefSeq lists it as uncharacterized. The transcript has 2 exons. NCBI's taxonomy places the organism in Eukaryota, Metazoa, Chordata, Crocodylia, Alligatoridae. The record is from RefSeq and is a predicted model, not a curated record.
AGUGGGCCCCGGCCCCUAUCCCACUCCUGGCUUGGCUCAGCUCCCUCCCAAUCCCUGCCCGGUCCCAGCUCCAUUCCCUUCCCCCACAGACUUUCCUACCGGGAGGGAGGGAGAUGUGCAUACACAUACGCGCUCAGCCCCACCUCCCCAAAAAAAAUUCUUUUCCUUUGCCUAUGGUUGUAUAUCUCAUCCAGUGCACCAAAUGCCCUGAUAUAAAAUAUGUAGGAGAAACCAAACAGCAGCUGUGUACCAGAAUGAAUGCACACCAAAAAUCUAUCAAAGACAAGAAUACCCAACUACCUAUUGGGGAACACUUCUCACAAGAAAACCAUUCUCUCUCCAGUCUCUCAGUUCUAAUCCUCAAAGGGAAUUUACAAAACACUUUUCACAGACGAGCCUAUGAACUUCAUUUCAUCAGCCUCCUUGAUACAAAAAAAACCCAAACUAAAUAUAGACAUUGGACUUAUGACACAUUAUAACAUCUGCCUAACAGGUAACCUCUCUACUAUUUACCAGCUAUGUUCUUAUCACCAGGUCUACAUUCUCCUCCCCCUCUCAUCCACUGACUGCCUCAAUUUGCAUUUUCACUGACUGGCUUUCUCGCAUGCAUACUGGCUUGUGACUUCUUUUAUAUUCCAUCCCGGCAGAGUGGAGACAAACUGCAAAUGCUUCCUCAGCCUGACAAAAGAGUGUUUGUGCCUGAAAGCUUGCAAAGAAGAAUUUUUCCAACUAUUUUAGUUCUGUCUCAUAAAAGAUACCGUAUUUACCCAAAUAACCUUGUCUGCCUAUUUUCUAGUAAAAACACUUUCUGACUGAAAAUGUCUCUGUGUAUGAAACAUCCUAAACAUUUCAAUAAAAUCUAGUCCAGGCCUUUAUGCUUUGCUUUUUUGUAAUUUAUUUAAAGUAUUUAGGUAAGACAUUCCCAGUGCUUGUUUUGGAUAUGUUACGAAUCAAGUAGUAAAAGACUGAAAUCUAAUGGUUAAUGGAAUAUAAAACUCUCUUGACACACAAGCAAUUAUUUUUGCAAUUAAUUGUAUGGAAAGAAGAGGGGAGCUGCCCUAGGUGUAAUCCCAGAAAUAGAUAAUAGAAAUGUUUAUGUUUUGUCAAGUAUAACUUUUUAACAAUUAUUUGUUUAAUAAUUUACUUAUUAAAUAAUUAUUACCAAUUUGCUUGUUUGUCAGAAGUCAACCUUACUCUAAGUUAAUUGUGAUGGAAACCAAGGUGUUGGGACCAAUAUACUUCUGGAAGGUUGCAAGGAGGAGCUCAAGGCAUUUUAGUGAACAUACCAAGAUAAGCCAAAGGAAAUAGAUCAUCAAAAUCUGAGAGAGAGAGAGUACUUCCUUUGGUAAAGGCCAAAUGAAAGAUGCAUGAAUAUCCAUUGCUUGAGAUGUAUAUAACUUGUUUUCUAAACCCCAUGGACCUUGUUGAACUUGGGCUUUGAUUGUGUUUCCAUUUCGGUCCUUGGGAAUUUAGGCUUCAUUGGGAUUUGGUUAGGGCCCUGGACAAAGGAAGGUCUAUGAGCUCUGUUGUUACCUGCAGGUGGUUCCGUCAAGAUCUAUUACUGAUCAAACAAAUCUCCACCUCUUUGAGAACUUCUGAGAGUUUUAACUAUCAUGAUGGAAACAUAAAAAAGAUAAAAGAAAAAAAUAACCAAAACAGUAAAAUGCCUUCAUGUUGAUGCAACUGUUUUUGAAGUAAAUGGAUACACGUCAGCAAUUAAUUUAGCUAGUUUAGUUUCUAAAGAAUAAGAAUGUGUACAUUGUUAUCUUUCUAUUGAUGUCAUCAAGUCCUGCUCUCAUACUGUUUUAAACUCAGGGGCGUUAAGUGGAUGCCAUUAAAAACAACACAUACCUUUCCGUUCUUUGAAAAAUCAAAAUGGGGGUGAGAAGUAAAGAUAGGAAUGGAAUGUUCUGUUUUCUUGUUUUCUUAAACUUUUUCUUCAUUGACCUUUGAGUUGUUGCAGCUACCUUGUGCCUUGUUCCUUUGUUUAAAUACAUGUAUGGAUAUGCACAACAAAACCAUGUAUGUUUUAGUUAUGGGCAGGGGUUGGUUAUUGCAGGAAUCUGUGAAAUGCUGUGUGGAAAGCCAGGACAGUGUCAACAUGCAUAUGCAUCUAGGGUUAUUUUGUAUCAUGUUUUUAAUGGCUCCCAUUGUCACCUGUUAGUAAGGCUCCAGUUUUUGCUAUGGAUUACAGAAUACUCAUGAUGGAACAUGCUUUAUUCUGACUCUUAACUACUAAUAGUGCACUUGUAAGUGAAAUAAAAGUUAUGUCAAUAUAAAGAAA